AAUAGAUACCCAGGUAGUCCACGCCCUAAACGAUGUCGACUAGGUGUUGGGGAAGGAGACUUCCUUAGUACCGCAGCUAACGCGUGAAGUCGACCGCCUGGGGAGUACGGUCGCAAGAUUAAAACUCAAAGGAAUUGACGGGGACCCGCACAAGCGGUGGAUGAUGUGGAUUAAUUCGAUGCAACGCGAAGAACCUUACCUACCCUUGACAUGUACGGAAGUCCGCUGAGAGGUGGAUGUGCCCGAAAGGGAGCCGUAACACAGGUGCUGCAUGGCUGUCGUCAGCUCGUGUCGUGAGAUGUUGGGUUAAGUCCCGCAACGAGCGCAACCCUUGCCAUUAGUUGCCACAUUCAGUUGGGCACUCUAAUGGGACUGCCGGUGACAAACCGGAGGAAGGUGGGGAUGACGUCAAGUCCUCAUGGCCCUUAUGGGUAGGGCCUCACACGUCAUACAAUGGCGCAUACAGAGGGUUGCCAACCCGCGAGGGGGAGCCAAUCCCAGAAAGUGCGUCGUAGUCCGGACUGGAGU
Molecule: ribosomal RNA, 528 nt
Filed under: uncultured bacterium
Lineage: Bacteria
Description: bacterial SSU rRNA
Rfam family: Bacterial small subunit ribosomal RNA
Source: RNAcentral